AAGUCGUAACAAGGUUUCCGUAGGUGAACCUGCGGAAGGAUCAUUACUGAAGUGAUUUGGGGGAUGUUGCUGGCCUCUGCUUUUUGGGGGGGCAAUGUGCACUUCCUUGAACAACCUCACAAUUUCCAUCACACCCUUGUGCACAUCUUGUAGGCACCCACACAAACCUCUCUUGGUUUGGGGUGUCCUAUGUAUCCCUUCACCUUCACACUUUUUGAAUGGUGCUCUUGAACGCAUCUCAUGGAUUAUUUGUAAAGUAAUCACAGAAACAACUUUCAACAAUGGAUCUCUUGGCUCUC
RNAcentral lists this unclassified non-coding RNA (299 nucleotides) under air metagenome. RNAcentral's name for it is "partial contains small subunit ribosomal RNA, internal transcribed spacer 1, and 5.8S ribosomal RNA". The stretch from base 1 to 46 matches the Rfam family "Eukaryotic small subunit ribosomal RNA", at positions 1786 to 1831 of the family's 1831-position model. The record is from RNAcentral.